GUACAUGCAAGUCGAGCGAAUGGAUUAAGAGCUUGCUCUUAUGAAGUUAGCGGCGGACGGGUGAGUAACACGUGGGUAACCUGCCCAUAAGACUGGGAUAACUCCGGGAAACCGGGGCUAAUACCGGAUAACAUUUUGAACCGCAUGGUUCGAAAUUGAAAGGCGGCUUCGGCUGUCACUUAUGGAUGGACCCGCGUCGCAUUAGCUAGUUGGUGAGGUAACGGCUCACCAAGGCAACGAUGCGUAGCCGACCUGAGAGGGUGAUCGGCCACACUGGGACUGAGACACGGCCCAGACUCCUACGGGAGGCAGCAGUAGGGAAUCUUCCGCAAUGGACGAAAGUCUGACGGAGCAACGCCGCGUGAGUGAUGAAGGCUUUCGGGUCGUAAAACUCUGUUGUUAGGGAAGAACAAGUGCUAGUUGAAUAAGCUGGCACCUUGACGGUACCUAACCAGAAAGCCACGGCUAACUACGUGCCAGCAGCCGCGGUAAUACGUAGGUGGCAAGCGUUAUCCGGAAUUAUUGGGCGUAAAGCGCGCGCAGUGGUUUCUUAAGUCUGAUGUGAAAGCCCACGGCUCAACCGUGGAGGGUCAUUGGAAACUGGGAGACUUGAGUGCAGAGAGGAAAGUGGAAUUCCAUGUGUAGCGGUGAAAUGCGUAGAGAUAUGGAGAACACCAGUGGCGAAGCGACUUUCUG
This 696-nucleotide ribosomal RNA is filed under the name Bacillus cereus. Its description in RNAcentral is "bacterial SSU rRNA". It matches the Rfam family "Bacterial small subunit ribosomal RNA", at positions 51 to 731 of the family's 1533-position model. The record is from RNAcentral. Lineage: Bacteria; Bacillati; Bacillota; Bacilli; Caryophanales; Bacillaceae.